Molecule: long non-coding RNA, 2078 nt
Organism: Aedes albopictus (Asian tiger mosquito)
Lineage: Eukaryota; Metazoa; Arthropoda; Insecta; Diptera; Culicidae
Exons: 2
Source: RefSeq, a predicted model, not a curated record
UGCGUGGGUGUAUCGAGAUAGACCCUACAGCGACAGAAACAAUGUUUGUUUACAAAACAAGUUAGACCCUUUAGACAUGUUAAAGCAUUAUUAUUAUAUAUCUCAUGAAUUCCAUCAACAUUACAUUAUGUGUUAUUGUGGAUUUGCCGGCUACUUGUAUUCUAUCGGUCGCUUCAGUACACGAAAAGAAAUUUAGUGAUUUAAUAUAUAAGGUUUAAUUGAUAUUUUUCAUUAGUUACACCGUAAUUGAUUUCAUAACAUCAAUUAAUUAUGUUUAUUUGGAAACAUAAUGAAAGCUAUAUCAUUUUCUUAUACCCUGUAUAAGUUUUGUGUUAUGGUGAAAAAGUAUAAGUUUUAACUAAUACAGAAUAUAAGAUCGUGCUUUGAACAUUUACUCCAAUACAAACAAACGUUGUCGCCGUAAAUUCAACGGAGGAAGCCAUUGUUAUCAUCGCUUCGCUGAAAAGUGUGCUUUCCUCUGUUUCUUUUAAAACUCAGGGAAAACUAAUCGAAUGGCAGAGCAAAUUGCGCAAAAAGGAAGUGCUUAAAGAUCACGGAAAACGGCCCCAAUAAAGUUCCCUACCAUCGCAAUACUCAUUCCGGCGCUUUCGAGUUCCUUGGCCUGGGAAAAUAAAGGUCCACUGGCAACUAGAGGAAGAUCGUCAUCGUUGUUGCCUUCUCGAGAGCGGACCAGCCUUGAGCUGAACAUGAAUGUACGCCGGAGAGCUGAAAGGGAUCACCAACUGCGUCGCUCUGGGAUCCGGUGGAAGGCAACUGCUGUGGAAGCAAGCGCAGUGGAAUUCUAUGGGGGAAGAUUCCUCCAGCAUGAAGCAGCUUUGGGAGGGUCGUAGAACCGAUUCAUGUUCGUUUGCUAAGUUAACGUAACGGCAAUUUUAAUGAGAGAAUAAAAUUAUUUCGAGUGUUUCAAAAUCUGUUUUCGUUUUUUUUUUCACCAUGAAAUUAAAUUAUUAAGUUUCCAUAACCAAAAUAUACGGCAAUAAAAUUCAUCAGGUUCAACGCAUACGUACUAUAACACUUCUAAUACAAGUUAUUAAAAAUACUAAAUAACACUCAUAAGCUAGAAUUAUAGAUUUUAUUAGUUGAAUGUUAUGCUUCAUAAUACACUUACAGAUGAGAUAUAUGAGAAAAACGAAAUGGCAAAAAAGUAUAACAUUUUCUUAUACAUUCAAUAUGGAAAUUUUUUUUCGUGUAUGGCCUCCAAAGUAGCCGUUUUAUAAAAAGAGUAACUUAAAAAUGUUUUUAAUCAUUUUUAUUGUAUGCGCUAUUUCUUGUUGCCACUAGCUAUUCAGCGACAUUUAUUUUUUGACAAUCAAGUUGACUUUUAUAUGAAAACGGCUACUUUGUAACGACUACUCAAGUAACCGGUAGAAUACAAGUAGCCGGUAAAUCCACAAUAAAUUUCAGCUGAAACACAAUUAAUUUUACACGAUUUUGCCUACACUGAAAGGAGCGUUGCAGUAAUGACAAGCACAAAAAUGUUUUUAAAUUUACCAUGGCAAAACAUGAUCAUCGACCCACCAACGCUUCUUGUGUGCGUUUUGUUUCUUCUCACAUCAACCGGUUCGAUAGCUGAGUGGUAGCGUGCGAGCCUGGUGAUGUCAAGAUUCUUGGUUCGAAUCCGGUUGCCAACAGAAACUUUUUUUUAUUGAAAAUCGAGUCCAUGGUAAAAUUGAAAACAUAAUUCUGUUGAAUUAAAACGAAACUCAGUCUGCACAAAUUUAGUGGCGUUGUGCAUUUAAAUUGACCCUCAGAAUAGUAAUUUUCACCGCAGGCCGCCGUUCAGUGUAAACAGCCCUCACGGUGCAGCCAAACGUCAGAGAACAAGCGUCGGACAUAUUCACGCAAAAACGGCUACACUGAAAAAAAUUGACACGAUUGAUUCACGUGUUUUGACUUAUGAGCUGAUUCAAAAACGAAAACGUUAGACUGAUGUGUUAUUCCCGUUUAUUAUAAGUUUCCUACACAUUACAAUAAUCUGAUGCAUCACAUAUAUUCCACGGCAAGGCCCACAUCGUCCAAUCACAUGUAAUUCAUUUCGAUAUCGUGUUGAUUAAAUU